AUGACAGCCAGCCUCAAAUGCUUUUCCAAUAACACACAGACACAAGCCCUGAAAUUUAUAUCAUUGAGUUACUGAAUACAUAUAUGUGCCUGGAUUUCCCUAGCAAAAAUUGGGAAGAAAACAUUUACUUUCCUUUUCCAGGCAGGGUGAGUUAAAUGGUAUGUCUGCAGCUGCGUUGCCAGGGGUCCGUGGCUUUUCAAAAGUGGGUGUCCCUACUGGCAAAAGUGGAUACGGGGGUCUGCAUGUUCCGUGGCAGCUUCCAGGAAGAAUGAGAAGUGGAUAAGAGUGGAUGGUGCAGGUCUAGAAGCAAGAAAGGUCUGAACUAAAUUGGUUGUCACCAUCAGGAAUCAAUGAUGUCAUAAGUCAUGGCUCCUGAAAUUGCAAUUUUCAUACAAUAAGUUUUAACGAAUUAAUUUUUGUUAUGUCUUGUGGUCUUUAAAUGACACACAUUUGACAGAAUGCAGUGGACAUUGACAGUACCAAGUAACACUGCUAUGGCCGAGAACAGGAGUGGCCAGGUGGCAUCUGAAAAGCUCUAGUUCCUUGGUGUGUCAUCUACAGCCAUGAGCAGCCUCAUCCAAGGCUCCUGUCGGGGUGGCCAGUAUGGAGUGAGGUCUGGAGGUGUGUCUUUGAUCCCUACGUCUGACACUCGCUGUCCACCACGAACAUCCUGUGUCACUGUGGAUCCAGGUACUGGAAGAUACUGAAGGAGUCCAUGUUCCAGGUGCCAAUAGCAGGGAUCAAGCCAGCAACUGGAUGACUCCUCCAACAAUGCAUGCAAAUUAGAGCAUCAUUAUCAUUUGAAGUGCCUGAUGGGAAAACACUCAACUGGAUUCAAAAAGCCAUUUACAUCAUUACAACAAUUUUUGAAACUUAUAUUUGUUAAUGAAUAAAGAA
Molecule: long non-coding RNA, 897 nt
Filed under: Homo sapiens (human)
Lineage: Eukaryota; Metazoa; Chordata; Mammalia; Primates; Hominidae
Description: HSALNT0255043
Source: RNAcentral